AGUGAAGUGCCUGAAAAAGGGUAAUCUUGAUAGGAUUAAAAAUGUGAAUCAAAUUUCACCUACACUC
RNAcentral lists this transfer RNA (67 nucleotides) under Agrianome spinicollis. Its description in RNAcentral is "tRNA-Ile". The record is from RNAcentral. Lineage: Eukaryota; Metazoa; Arthropoda; Insecta; Coleoptera; Cerambycidae.